This 1956-nucleotide ribosomal RNA is filed under the name human gut metagenome. Its description in RNAcentral is "bacterial LSU rRNA". It matches the Rfam family "Bacterial large subunit ribosomal RNA", at positions 1 to 1981 of the family's 2925-position model. The record is from RNAcentral.
UAAAGCAAGAAAGGGCGUAUGGGGAAUGCCUAGGCACACUCCGGCGAAGAAGGACGCAGCAAACAGCGAAAUGCGACGGUGAGCGGUAAGCACGUGAAGAGCCGUCGAUAUCCGAAUGGGGGAACCCACACGGAGUCAUAUCCGUGUAUCACAUGUCGAAUACAUAGACAUGAUGAGGCGAGACGCAGGGAACUGAAACAUCUAAGUACCUGCAGGAAGAGAAAAUAAGAAUGAUUUUCUGAGUAGCGGCGAGCGAAAGGGAAAGAGCCCAAACCGAUUUUAGGAUCGGGGUAGUAGGAUCAUCGAGGAAUCUGACAGAGGAUCAUAGAGGAAUCACAUGGGAAGGUGAGCGAGAGAGGGUGAGAGCCCCGUACUCGAAAUGAGAGACUGGAGAGAGAUGACACCUGAGUAGGGCGGGACACGAGAAAUCCUGUCUGAAUCAGCCGGGACCAUCCGGCAAGGCUAAAUACGAGAGAGUGACCGAUAGUGAACCAGUACCGUGAGGGAAAGGUGAAAAGAACCCCGGGAGGGGAGUGAAAGAGAACCUGAAACCAUAUGCCUACAAGAAGUCAGAGCCCGUUAAAGGGUGAUGGCGUGCCUUUUGUAGAAUGAACCGGCGAGUUACUGUAUGGAGCGAGGUUAAGCAGGAUAUGCGGAGCCGAAGCGAAAGCGAGUCUUAAGAGGGCGCGAGUUGCAUGCAGUAGACCCGAAACCGGGUGAUCUAGCCAUGACCAGGUUGAAGUUGGGGUAAAACCCGAUGGAGGACCGAACCGACCCCCGUUGAAACGUUGGCGGAUGAGGUGUGGCUAGGGGGGAAAGUCCAAUCGAACCCGGAGAUAGGUGGUUCUCCCCGAAAUAGCUUUAGGGCUAGCGUCGAGAGAAGAGUUGCGUGAAGGUAGAGCACUGAAUAUGUGAUGGCCCCAUCUCGGGGUACUGAGCAUAAUCAAACUGCGAAUGUCACGCCAACAUGCUCGGCAGUCAGACAGCGGGUGAUAAGGUCCGUUGUCAAGAGGGAAACAGCCCAGACCAUCAGCUAAGGUCCCAAAAUGUAUGCUAAGUGGAAAAGGAUGUGGAGAUGUACAGACAACUAGGAGGUUGGCUCAGAAGCAGCCAUCCUUUAAAGAGUGCGUAACAGCUCACUAGUCGAAUGACUCUGCGCCGAUAAUUUACCGGGGCUAAGCAUACUACCGAAGCUAUGGAUCCCAAGGGAUGGUAGGGGAGCGUUCCAUGAACGGAGAAGUACGACCGAAAGGACGUGUGGAGAUCAUGGAAGAGAGAAUGCCGGUGUGAGUAGCGGAACGUGGGUGAGAAUCCCACGCACCGAAAACCCAAGGUUUCCAGAGGAAGGUUCGUCCGCUCUGGGUAAGUCGGGACCUAAGGCGAGGCCGAAAGGCGUAGUCGAUGGACAACAGGUAGAGAUUCCUGUACCCGUAUAUAUGUGAAGGAAUGACGGAGAGAGGAAGCUGCAGCCAGCGGCUGGAAGAGCUGGUGCAAGCGAGAUAUCGGGAUGGCAGGCAAAUCCACCAUCCGAAACGAGAAGGCGUGAAGCGUACGGAAAGCUACGGCGAGUACGGAAGGCAGUGGAGGAACUUCCAAGAAAAGUUUCUAACGUUAAGUAUAUAUGGCCCGUACCGAAAAUGGACACACAUGGGUGAGGAGAGAAUCCUAAGGUGAGCGAGAGAACUAUAGCUAAGGAACUCUGCAAAAUGACUCCGUAACUUAGGGAGAAGGAGUGCUCAUAGAGAUAUGAGCCGCAGUGAAACGGCCCAAGCGACUGUUUACCAAAAACACAGCUCUCUGCUAAGCCGCAAGGCGAAGUAUAGGGGGUGACGCCUGCCCGGUGCUGGAAGGUUAAGGGGAGGGGUUAACGCAAGUGAAGCCCUGAACUGAAGCCCCAGUAAACGGCGGCCGUAACUAUAACGGUCCUACGGUAGCGAAAUUCCUUGUCAGGUAAGU